CAGCCGCCGCGGGAAUACGUAGGGCGCAAGCGUUAUCCGGAAUUAUUGGGCGUAAAGAGCUCGUAGGCGGUUUGUCGCGUCUGCCGUGAAAGUCCGGGGCUCAACCCCGGAUCUGCGGUGGGUACGGGCAGACUAGAGUGAUGUAGGGGAGACUGGAAUUCCUGGUGUAGCGGUGAAAUGCGCAGAUAUCAGGAGGAACACCGAUGGCGAAGGCAGGUCUCUGGGCAUUAACUGACGCUGAGGAGCGAAAGCAUGGGGAGCGAACAGGAUUAGAUACCCCUGUAGUCCCUGUCUCUUAUAC
This 301-nucleotide ribosomal RNA is filed under the name uncultured bacterium. RNAcentral describes it as "partial 16S ribosomal RNA". It matches the Rfam family "Bacterial small subunit ribosomal RNA", at positions 509 to 807 of the family's 1533-position model. The record is from RNAcentral.